UUCUUGAUCCUAUGUGUUGUAUUGAGUGUUGGUCACUGGUCUUUGGGAAGCUUGGACAGAAGUGGGGCAGCCAUGGAGCUGCUGACUGGGACUGGCCUGUGGCCCGUGGUCAUAGUCACAGUCAUCUUCAUAUUACUGGUGGACAUGUUGCACCGGUGCCAGCGCUGGACUUCUUGCUGCCCACCAGACCCUGUGCCAUGGCCUGUGCUGGGUAACCUGCUGCAGGUGGACCUGGAUAACAUGCCAUAUAACUUGUACAAGCUUCACAACCGCUAUGGUGACGUGUUCAGCCUGCAGAUGGGCUGGAACCACAUGGCCGUGAUCAACGGACUGAAGGUGUGGUCCUUGCUCCUUAUGGGCCUGAGUGGAAAGAGCAGAGGUGAUUCUCUGCGUCGACCCUGUGCAACUUCAGCCUGGGCAAGAAAUCACUGGAGCAGUGGGUGAUGGAAGAGGUUGGACACCUCUUUGAUGUCUUCACUGCCCAUGCUGGGAGUCCCCUCAAUCCUUACCCUCUCUUGGACAAAGCCGUGUGCAAUGUGAUUGUGUCUCUCAUUUAUGCCCAUCGCUUCGAGUAUGGAGACCCUGACUUCAUCAAGAUGCUAAAAAGGAGGCUGUAGACAAGAGAUUUGGAAAGAACACAUCUAGAAGUGUCCACCACAGUAAUAGGAGCCUGGAGAUUGACAUACAGCAAAAGGAAGUGAGAAGCUGACCAAGGUCAGGGCUUCUAGAAGCUGAGACCCUGGCCCUCUGCCCACAUGGAACAUCUGUGAGAUUUUCCAGGUUCUGAACACAUUCCCAAUUCUCCUACGCAUCCCAGGGUUGGCUGACAAAGUCUUCCCUGGGCAAAAGACAUUUCUCAUAAUGGUGGAUAAGCUGGUGACUGAGCACAAGAGGACCUGGAACUCGGACCAGCCGCCUCGAGACCUGACUGAUGCCUUUAUGGCUGAGAUGGAGAAGGCAAAGGGAAACCCUGAGAGUAGCUUCAAUGAUGCAAAUCUAUGUCUGGUUGUCCUUGACCUGCUGGGUGCUGCAACUGUGACCACCUCAACCACACUGUCCUGGGCCCUGCUGCUUAUGAUCCUGCAUCCGGAUGUGCAGUGUGAGCCUGGCUGGGGCUGUCAAGAAAGGAGGAGGAGGGUAGAGGCAAACUCCUUAAACUUACUUGGGACACUUGUAGAUCCCAGCAUUGAGUUAACCCAGACUGCAGUAAGUAUGGUUGCCUUAUUUCUCCCAUGGACCCAGCCCUUAACAGAGAGGUAGUGGAUGGACAAGGGGCACCCACUGAAGCAUCUUAACUGAUGGGAAAAUGUCCUUCCAGGCCAAGUACAACAGGAAAUCGAUGAGGUCAUUUGGUAUGUGUGGCUUCCAGAGAUGGCAGACCAGGUCUGCAUGCCCUUCACCAAUGCUGUCAUUCAUGAGGUACAGUGCUUACAGUUACUGGGAUAUCAUCCCAAUAACUUUGCCACACAGGACUUCUCGUGACAUUGAAGUGUGGGGCUUUCUUAUCCCUAAGGUAGGUCUGGGUCUCUCCAGUGUCUAGUCAGUGUUGCCAGCUACCCGCUGACUUGAUCUGCCCAGUUAAGAAGGACUAGAUUACAGGCAUUCCAAUUCUCAACUCAAGGGAACCAACAUCCCCUGGGUAAAUAUGGGAAUAGAAACAAGAGCAAUAACUGCUUUAGAAUCCCUACCUAGAAAUGCAGGCAAGGUAAAAUAUGGCAGGAGUGGUUGUAACAGCCACUACCUACAAAUACAGGUCACAGUGUGUACAUCUGUCCCAUCACAUUUCCAUGUCACAGUAUUAAUGAAAUCUGUGAAGCUUCUGUGGUUAGUUUAUAUGACAGCAUCCAGUGUGUGUGUGGUACAGGCUGUGCCUGUGAAUGUCGUGACUAGUAAGGGUCUAGUAAAACUCACCCUGUUCAUGUUCACACAAUGUGCUUCAUGCCAGGGCAUGACUCUCAUCUCCAACCUGUUCCGUGCUGAAGGAUGAGACUGUCUGGGAGAAGCCCCUUCGCUUCCAUCCUGAACACUUCCUGGAUGCCCAGGGCCACUUUGUGAAGCCUGAGGCCUUCAUGCCAUUCUCAGCAGGUGCCUCUAGGGUGCCUUCCUGCCUAUCUUUCCCUAGGGUGCCUUGGAGGGUGGAGCACCAAUCAGGUCCCAGACUGAGCCCUCUUCUACACAUAGGCCACAGAUCAUGCCUGGGGGAGCCCCUGGCCCUCAUGGAGCUCUUCCUCUUCUUCACCUGCCUCCUGCAGCGCUUUAGCUUCUCAAUGCCAGCUGGACAAUCCCUUCCCAGUGAUUAUGGCAUCUAUACAAUGCCAGUUACUCCAGCACCUACCAGCUCUGUGCAGUGGUUUGCUAGCAGGGGCAGUGGCUCCAGCCAUCAUCACAGAUUGUUCUGACUGAUGUCCAAUAAACAAGUUUUGUGUCUGAAUC
RNAcentral lists this long non-coding RNA (2433 nucleotides) under Mus musculus (house mouse). Its description in RNAcentral is "novel transcript". The record is from RNAcentral. Lineage: Eukaryota; Metazoa; Chordata; Mammalia; Rodentia; Muridae.